Small RNA from Verticillium longisporum, 70 nucleotides. It matches the Rfam family "bZIP non canonical Hac1/Xbp1 intron". Rfam says of the family: bZIP intron RNA is a non-canonical intron that was first reported in HAC1 gene in yeast and XBP1 gene in Metazoa. The record is from Rfam. NCBI's taxonomy places the organism in Eukaryota, Fungi, Ascomycota, Sordariomycetes, Glomerellales, Plectosphaerellaceae.
CCUUUCCUCCGACGUGACACAACGUCCUGCAGUGAUGUUGUUCGACCUGCCGUGUCGGUCGGAGGAAAUG